Anolis carolinensis (green anole) is the source of this 4287-nucleotide long non-coding RNA. RefSeq lists it as uncharacterized. The transcript has 2 exons. Lineage: Eukaryota; Metazoa; Chordata; Lepidosauria; Squamata; Anolidae. The record is from RefSeq and is a predicted model, not a curated record.
CUCUCAGAAAACAUAAAACAGGUUGGAAAAGAGCAGACGAUUCCCACCGUCUACCUUUCCUUUGCCAAACUUCUGAGGAUAGAAUUUGUAAGCGCCAUUUUGAAAAAGGGCAAGUGGUUUCGUCACCAUGACAACCGCAGCCAUAUUGAUUUCAAAUAGGAUUGUUAGCUUUUGGACGUCCUGUCCUGUUGUCAAAUGACUUUGUUCUCUUGUUUUAAAACAUACACACAAUGUUAUACAACCCAGAAUGCAGUUUUGGUUCUUAAAAUUAGAAGCUAUUCCAAUAAAUUAAAGAAAGGAAGGGGGAAUUAAUUGGUCACAGCUGAAAAAACUCACAACAAAUCAGUGGAGGCAGCGAAUCAACAGAAACACCUCUCAUUUUAAACGUUUUAAAGUGAUUUUAACACAUUUUAAUACAGUAGAGUCUCACUUAUCCAAGCUAAACGGGUCGGCAGAACCUUGGAUAAGCGAAAAUCUUGGAUAAUAAGGAGGGACUAAGGAAAAGCCUAUUAAAUAUCAAAUUAGGUUAUGAUUUUACAAAUUAAGCACCAAACCAUCAUGUUAUACAACAAAUUGGACAGAAAAAGUAAUUCAAUACGCAGUAAUGUUAUGUAGUAAUUACUGUAUUUACGAAUUUAGCACCAAAAUAUCACGAUAUAUUGAAAAUAUUGACUACAAAAAUGGCUUGGAUUAUCCAGAGGCUUGGAUAAGCGAGACUCUACUGUACUAGUGUUUUAAAAUGGUAUAUUUUUUUUAAUGUUGUGGAAACAGAGUGAAAGGGCUCCUGUAUCUUUAAUUGUUGUUGAAGAGGUUUUGAUUCAUGAAAGUAAGUAACAAGAACAGUCACUGAAAUCCUGUCUUCUACACAACCUCUGGACAUGUGUAGAAUGCCCUGUGUAGAUGUCAUGAAUACUUUUUAAACAAAGGUUCUUUUUAUUGCAAUUUUCAGUUUGAAAGGGUAUAUCAGAACUUUUACACUUCUACACAAAGAAUGACAUUAGACAUAUAUAUUCUAUGCAACUACAUUGGAUUCACAAACAACCUACAGUUACACUGGCUAACGAACAAAGGGGAAUUACAUUUUUACUCAGCAUUCACAUAUCCAUUCAUUCAUCCUCAUGAAAACAUAUAUUACCAUAUUCUUUUCUCCCUCCUUGAAGAAGCACCUGCUUAGGCCAGACUCUGCCAACGCACAGUCUCAAAAUGCCAAAAUGCAUCCUCUUUCCCUUGUAUCAAUGCCAAGGAUCAGAUCCCAGUUUUCCUUAGAGCAGAACCUGACUCCCUGCAACAUGUAUCAUGACUCCAAAAUGCACUCCUUUCUCUUCCCCUGAGAAACGGAGGCAAGUGUCCAGACUGUGUUCCAUUGCAGAUCUGACACUCUCCAAAGUACACUAUCUCUCUUCUUCCCAAGGAGCAGAGCAUAGCAGGUGAACGGCUCCACUGUCUGUCACAAUUUUUGGAUUGUAAUAAGAUCUCUUAUAUAGCAAUACUAAUUUGGGGACCCAGCAGUGCCUGGGCUAUUAGAAGAAGGCAUUGUUUGUUUUGGACUGAUAGGUAAUAUUACUGAAGUUUGGUCCAGAUCCGUCGUUGGCUGGGUUCAGUGCUGUCUGGAUAAGGAUGAACUAUAACUCCCAGAUUUCCAGGGCAAUCACCCUUAAAACCCCGUCAGUAUUCGCAGUUAGCCAUGUUGAGUCUGUGUGCCAAGUUUGGUCUAGAUCUGACAUUAGCUGGAUUUAGUGCUUUCUGGAUGCAGGUGAACUGUAACUCCCAAAAUCAAGGUUCAUUCCCACUGCAGUAUGUUCAGUUGGUCAUGGGGCUUCUCAGUGCCAAGUUUGGUCCCCAUCCAUUGUUGGUGGGGGUCACAGUAUCAGUGAAGGUAUUGCAAGCCCCAUUAUCCGUGGCAAGUUUGGUCCAGAUCUAUCAUUGGUUGGGUUAACAGUGCUCUCUGGAUGUAGUCAAGUACAACUCUUGUAAAUCAUGGUGAAUUCUCCCCAAACCUCUUGUUCUAUUGCUAAUCAAUUCCUCUGUUAACUAUGUGCUAUAAGAAAGGGUAGGAAAGGGUUAAGGUAGAAGCAAUGGGAAGGUUCGUGCAAAUUAGGGAACCCUGGGAUGUCCAUUCUGCAGGAAAAACAGAACAUCUAGGAUGAAAUUGUCCCCACAUGAAAGCCUUCACUUGGGUGGGGGCGGGGGCAGAAUGGUGUUUGUGGAGGACAGUGGCUGGGUUUGGUCUACAUGUUCAUGAUGCCCACUAUAACCUGCAUGUCAGUGGGGGGAUGGCCAUUGAUGUCUUCUGCUCAGUGGGAACUAUAGCUGUUUGUGGAGGUAAGAGACUGUCUGUGUAAGUGGGCACCUCCUCCACAUACACCUAUAUACAUUUUUUCACUUUUAUUAUGUGUGGAUAGAUUAUGUGUUUAGAUGUUGCCCCAAAGUUGUGAAUGAAUGAUAGAUAUUUUCCAUCCUGAAACAUGUUGAGCCCAUCUCAGUUUCCUAGCAGAUGUUGACUCUGCGUAAUUGGUGUUGAUAACACAAACCUUGUGUUGACUUGCUUCUUAACAUUGUAAAGAUUUCCUUAACUUGAAAGAGCCAUUGUCUUUGAUUGAUAUAAACAUGUUGUUUUUCCCCAAAAGUUCAACAGUUAAUAAUUGUCACAGUUUUUAUCAAUGUCAGCAGUUCAGUUACUUUUAAUUACAGUUCGUUGUUUUCCAAGCCUCAAUCUUCAGAAUGGUGUCUCCAAAAUUCAUUCAUUCCUUCCAUUCAGUUCAUUCAUACCCACACACAUAAAAUCCAUGUUUAUCAAAUCAGCACACCAUAUUUAAUCAUGACAUAAGCACAGUUAUCUCUCAAUUUAUUUAGCAUACAAACCACAACAUCUGGAUCAAACGAUAUUAUUUUUCUCAACUGCUUUGAAACUCUUCUGCUUAGAUUUAUAAAAAGGAGUUAUUUUAUUGUACUAUUUCCUCAACCUCAGAGCCACAAGUGCUGUUGGGUUGCAAUUCCCAUUACUCAAAGUCCGCACAGCAAAUAAUAAUCAAAAGUGAUGGGAGUUGUCAUUCAACAAUAUCUGGGUAAAAAUUAAAGAGCACCAACCUUCAGUAUACUUUAAAUUGUAAAUUGUAGGAGUGAUACCAAAACGUGAUGUAUAUAUUCAGUUUUAUCAUAUUUAUUUACUGUGUUGUUAUAAGUGUUUUAUUUAACUUACUAUAUGGUGUGUAAUCAUGUUUUAUCAAGCCUUUAUUAGCCUAAAGGCUAAUGAAUAAAUUUACUACCACUUAGUUCAAAGUGUAAAAUAGCAUGGACUCAAUUAAUUUAGCAAGAAAAAAUACACCUCAUUGACAACAUUUGCCCUCUCGACCGCACUCGGAUGCUGCUUCAUUACAUGGGAUUCGAGUUUCUCCUAUGAAAUGCUGGAGGCUAUAUUGUAUAAAAGGCACGGGCAAACUUGGGCCCUCCAGGUAUUUUGGACUUCAACUACCACAAUUUCUAACAACCGAUAGUUGAAGUCCAAAAUACCCGGAGGGUCAAAUUUGGUCCAUGCUUGCUAUGCAAGAACACAAAUCUUAACUCAAAGAAAAAUAGUCCUGAAUUGCUGACCUCACUUUGCUCACAAUUAGAACCCUAUACCCACUUAUUGAAGAGUCAUCCCCAUUAUGUUCAGUGGGUUUAGUCCACCUUGGGUCCCACUCUGACUCUUUCAAGUGAAGCAAACAAAUAAUUAAAAUGCAUGGGAAAAAUCAUUUUACCAUUUCCUCCCCUUUUGUCUAUCAAGGAUCCGUCCUCCAAUUUCCAGAAGGAUGUACAAACCGAAGAGGCUCUCCUGCUAGAUGAAAGGUUGAAGAUCUGUUUCCUUGGGGGAAUGUUGCAGUGACUGCUUCAAACUCAGAGCCCUUUGAAGUUAUGUGAGCAUUCAAUAAAGAACUGCUGUCUCUGAAGAGUCAAGUACCCUAAAGCUGACAGCUUACCUUCAUGAGCACACAACUGCUUUGUGUCCAAUUAAGGUAAACCAAGAAAGAGUUUUGUUUAAGAAACAAACAAGCAAGUGGAUAGUGUAGAAGGAAUAUCAAACAAAGGUGCAGAGGAAAAUAAAAUGUAAAUGCAAUUCCCAGCUCAAGGUUGAGUGACUGUGGUCCCCGAUCCUUCCAAAGCCCUCCAUACACCCCAAGAUCCUUUUUUUUCCCAGAAAGGAAAAAAAGGAGAUGAACAGUUAGCAUUCCCACUAGCUUCCAGGACUGGGAGAUGCUCUUCCAUCACCACCCUUCUAAAAAGCACCAAUAAACCUGAAAAUCGCUA